Molecule: long non-coding RNA, 1606 nt
Organism: Drosophila suzukii
Lineage: Eukaryota; Metazoa; Arthropoda; Insecta; Diptera; Drosophilidae
Source: RefSeq, a predicted model, not a curated record
UCCAUUGAAAAUUGUCGGUAGUAUGAAAACGCGUCACUUAGGCCAUAAUAUAUAUGAUCUAUUGCAUUUACUUCAAUAAAUACCAAGUACAUGAAUGAACAGUUUUCAAUAGCUCGUUUUAAAGUAAACCAUUCAUUACGUUAAAAUGUAUAUUUUUACUUGAAUAAAACAGAAAUACAUUAAUAAUUGCUUGUUUAUUCCAUUGAAAAUUGUCGGUAGUAUGAAAACGCGUCACUUAGGACAUAAUAUAUAUGAUCUAUUGCAUUUACUUCCAUAAACACCAAGUAUAAUAACUACUUUUCAAUAUAUAUUAUUAAAAGUUUCUACGUCGUUAUAGACCAAGCCAUAUCCACUGUAGUAGGAAAGUGCGGGUCUGGGUAGUAGUGAGGUGGCUACGCUGGCGAUACAAUCGGCUACAGUCGGUGACCGGCACUGGACAACAACUAAACAACUGUGGCAAAAACAACCCAACAACCGGCCACAAAUCAAAAAUUCUCAUUUUGUUGGGGAGGGGGUUGGGAACCCCCUUUAAUUUUGUAUUGUGUGCUGUUUAAAUAGCCGAAAAUUGCCAACAUUUAAAUGCAGCCAAGUGCCACGCCCUUAAUUAGACGGCUUAUAUAAUUUUCGAAAAACACCCCCCAACUAGUUCGUUAGCGUGUGUUUGUGCCCGUUUUAGUUCGACUGACUUUUGGCUAAUUAAUAGGCGCGUGUUGCCAACAAUAUGCGAAAUCUACGUGGCCGACAUGGUUUUUAACAAACUGUCCAAAAAUCCCAAAAGUUUUCCAACCAAAAAAAGAAGAAACAUUGCCCCGCCGAAAAGUUUGUUCCAACUUUUUUGGAACCCAGAUUUUACUCUCGAUUUAGCAGAGGUUUCCGAAAUAGUUUGGCAGCAGGAAUAUCUCCACCAAUGAAGCUGUCAGCGUGUGCUUUUGAUAAUUUAUUAACCAGGCAAAUGGAAAAAUAGAAAACAUUUUAAUUGAAUGUAAGAGAAAUAAAUUGAAUCCGCCUUAAACAAAACCCUCAUCGCAUCGAGGGCCUCAAUCAAAUUAAAGAUUUAUGAUCCCCAGGCAAAAAAAAAAAACAAAACAAAAAAUCUAGACAAGACAAUGAAUAUCAAUUAGGCGGCGAAAGGGGGUUAAGGCGGGGUCGGGGGGCAUUUGGACCCCCAGCUUUUGAUUAGAUCAGCGGGCGGACAAAGGGAAAAUGAAAAGUCCCCAUCUAAUGUCACUGAAAGUCACAUUCACAGAGCCCCGAAAAGGUCAGAUAUCUCCGUCAAUGUCAAGGAGCACAGAGGGCUGCCUUAUCAACACUCAAGGACCAAGCGGAAUCACCAUUAAAAAUGUAAGCACUGGCCUUAAAUUUGAUUUAAAUUCCGACGUUUUUUAAGUAUUUUUUAAUUUGUUUCUUCUUUUGUUGGGCGGAUUCUUUUUUUUUAUCUUUUUCAUUUUUGUAUUUAAAUUUCUACUUAUACUUUCUGUUCUGGCGUUUUCUUUUUUCGUUUUUUUUUUGCCAUCUGCGGGCGGCCGGAGUCAUUAAGUCAGCUUUGUUCCGCCUCAAUGCCGGCCCCGCCCCCUAUUUUCCGACCCCCUACACCCCCCCCACACAC